CCCUUAGAGUUUGAUCCUGGCUCAGGAUGAACGCUGGCGGCGUGCCUAAUACAUGCAAGUCGAACGAAUCUUCUUCGGAAGAUGAGUGGCGAACGGGUGAGUAAUACAUAGGUAACCUGCCCCUGUGCGGGGGAUAACAGGAGGAAACUCCUGCUAAUACCGCAUAGCCAUGAGCACCGCAUGGAGCUCAUGCCAAAUAUCCUUUACGGGAUAGCGCAGGGAUGGACCUAUGGCGCAUUAGCUAGUUGGCGGGGCAACGGCCCACCAAGGCAACGAUGCGUAGCCGGCCUGAGAGGGCGGACGGCCACAUUGGGACUGAGACACGGCCCAGACUCCUACGGGAGGCAGCAGUAGGGAAUUUUCGGCAAUGGGGGAAACCCUGACCGAGCAACGCCGCGUGAGCGAAGAAGGCCUUCGGGUCGUAAAGCUCUGUUGUAAAGGAAGAACGUCGCAUGCAGGAAAUGGUGUGCGAGUGACGGUACUUUACCAGAAAGCCACGGCUAACUACGUGCCAGCAGCCGCGGUAAUACGUAGGUGGCGAGCGUUAUCCGGAAUCAUUGGGCGUAAAGAGGGAGCAGGCGGCCGCAAGGGUCUGUGGUGAAAGACCGAAGCUAAACUUCGGUAAGCCAUGGAAACCGGGCGGCUAGAGUGCGGAAGAGGAUCGUGGAAUUCCAUGUGUAGCGGUGAAAUGCGUAGAUAUAUGGAGGAACACCAGUGGCGAAGGCGACGGUCUGGGCCGCAACUGACGCUCAUUCCCGAAAGCGUGGGGAGCAAAUAGAAUUAGAUACCCUAGUAGUCCACGCCGUAAACGAUGGUCACUAAGUGUCGGGGGUCAAACCCCGGUGCUGCAGUCAACGCAAUAAGUGACCCGCCUGAGUA
RNAcentral lists this ribosomal RNA (879 nucleotides) under uncultured bacterium. RNAcentral's name for it is "bacterial SSU rRNA". It matches the Rfam family "Bacterial small subunit ribosomal RNA", at positions 1 to 879 of the family's 1533-position model. The record is from RNAcentral.